Non-coding RNA from Theobroma cacao (cacao), 1681 nucleotides. The record is from RefSeq and is a predicted model, not a curated record. NCBI's taxonomy places the organism in Eukaryota, Viridiplantae, Streptophyta, Magnoliopsida, Malvales, Malvaceae.
CCACCACCCUCACCCUGCCAGAAGCAAAAAAUUCGCGUCUGGCAGGGUAGUAGGAGCGUGCCCCCUUCAACCCAGUAUAAAGGGGGCACUGUAGCACUCACCCCAAGGAGCCACAACCUGCAAGCCAAAAAACAAGCAAUAAAAAAAAAAACCCUAGUCCCUCGCAGUCGAAUACCACAACAAAAAUUUUUCUCUACUAUUCUAACAGCCAAAAACAACCAAAAUCCAUAAAUCAAAAAAUGUACCAAAAAAAAAGUACUAAAAAAGGUUCACAAAGAGAAAAGAAGAAAAUGAAGGCUUUGUUUUGGUGCCGCCAGCUGUGAAAGUUGGAUUUGGGCUUUAGGUGGUUCAAAUCGGAGGUGAGGGGGACCUCUUUGUACCACCGGUGGUGGGUUAUUUGUCGCCGGAUUAGGAGAAGAGGAAGCUGAUUUGGGCGACCCCAUCGGUUGGGGAAAGCUGACCUUUGGGGAGCGACGUCGGCAUGAAGCUGAGAGGAGUUGAGAGCUUGGGUGAGCUUGGGUUGCUGCCUGUCGAUCAUAGAGAGAAGGUCGGUCAUAGAGAGAAGGUCGGUCAUUUGGGGCAACCGAUCUGGGAUCUACCAGCGCAGGAAAGAGAAAAAGGGGUACCGACGACGCUACAGGCUUGGGGCUAGCUACCGUCGGGUUUUGGGGAGUGUUAGAGCUUGGGUUUGGAAGGUGAGUCACGUCGGCGACGUCGAGCGGCAAGGAGAGUCCUGUUUUGGGGUUGGCCGGCGACUUGGUAGAGAGAAAGGAGAGAGUUUGGGUUCUAGAGAGAGAGACAAAAAGGAGAAAAUGGGAAGAAAGGAAGAAAAUGAAGCUUAAAUAGUUAAGAGCUGGGGCAUGUGAAACGGUAUCGUUUUGGGCACUAGGAGGCUAAAUUCUUGAAGCAGGCUUACAAGCUUUUUGGAUCAGUCUGAUCCAUCUUGAGCCGGGUUGGGCUAAAGCUUUGGGGAGAGUUAUAAACGUGGAAUUGGGCUUGAAAAAAUGAGCCUGAAACUGGAGGCAGGGAAAGGGAGGCCCAUUUCUUAAAGGUUUAGGCUUAUUGGGACACUUCUUCUAGGCCGAAUCUUCCGGACCUAUGCAUAAUUUAGAACCUGAUUUGUUCUUAUGAAUGAAUGAUAGGUUGGGCCAAUGAUCAUUCUCAAGAGAAAGAAAAUGAGCAACAAAUUCAUUUAAAAAAAAAAAAAAAGAAGAAAAAGGCAAUUCCAUCCAUAUCCAGCAAGGGACAAGGGGAGCAAAUAGCAAAGGUAGCUGUGUUAAUUUGGUGUUGCCAAUGAUUCCAGUUGCAAGGAAGAAGUCAGGCAGUCAAUCCAAAAUCGAAAAAACUGCUUUGUUAUGUAUCCGUGCAAGGCUAGGCAUGGGCCUUAGGCAAUAACACCACACCGUCGUCUUUUGGCAAUUUAGCAGACAUGUUGCUUCGUUUUGAAGGCAAUUCAGGUCUGUUGUCAACUCUUUUGAGGCAGACUUUGCAACUAUAAUUACUAAUGUUUUUCAUAACCCGACCCACUCUUGAAUCCAUUGGAGGUUUGGUUUUCGGUCCACCCGAUUUAAUUAGUUGUUGCAGUUCGAUGUCCCGUUUCUUGUCUGAAAUAUUUGUUUGGUAUAAAAUACAUUCACAGAUGAAAGAGUGUGAAAAUAUACAAGUUUUACUUUGCUGCUAA